This 253-nucleotide ribosomal RNA is filed under the name uncultured bacterium. Its description in RNAcentral is "partial 16S ribosomal RNA". It matches the Rfam family "Bacterial small subunit ribosomal RNA", at positions 524 to 776 of the family's 1533-position model. The record is from RNAcentral.
UACAGAGGGUGCGAGCGUUAAUCGGAAUUACUGGGCGUAAAGCGUGCGUAGACGGUAGCGUAAGUCAGAUGUGAAAGCCCCGGGCUCAACCUGGGAAUUGCAUUUGAGACUGCUCUGCUCGGGUGCGGAAGAGGGAAGCGGAAUUUCCGGUGUAGCGGUGAAAUGCGUAGAUAUCGGGAAGAACACCCAUGGCGAAGGCAGCUCUCUGGGACGGUACUGACGCUGAGACGCGAAAGCGUGGGGAGCAAACAGG